AGCGAACGCUGGCGGCAGGCCUAACACAUGCAAGUCGAACGGAUCCUUCGGGAUUAGUGGCGGACGGGUGAGUAACACGUGGGAACGUGCCCUUUGGUUCGGAACAACUCAGGGAAACUUGAGCUAAUACCGGAUGUGCCCUUCGGGGGAAAGAUUUAUCGCCAUUGGAGCGGCCCCGGUCUUAUUAGCAAGUUGGUGAGGUAAAGGCUCACCAAGGCGACGAUCAGUAGCUGGUCUGAGAGGAUGAUCAGCCACAUUGGGACUGAGACACGGCCCAAACUCCUACGGGAGGCAGCAGUGGGGAAUCUUGCGCAAUGGGCGAAAGCCUGACGCAGCCAUGCCGCGUGAAUGAUGAAGGUCUUAGGAUUGUAAAAUUCUUUCACCGGGGACGAUAAUGACGGUACCCGGAGAAGAAGCCCCGGCUAACUUCGUGCCAGCCGCCGCGGUAA
Molecule: ribosomal RNA, 449 nt
Filed under: uncultured bacterium
Lineage: Bacteria
Description: partial 16S ribosomal RNA
Rfam family: Bacterial small subunit ribosomal RNA
Source: RNAcentral